Long non-coding RNA from Bos taurus (domestic cattle), 905 nucleotides. The record is from Ensembl. NCBI's taxonomy places the organism in Eukaryota, Metazoa, Chordata, Mammalia, Artiodactyla, Bovidae.
GAAUUGUUAUUUGCUUCUUUCUUGCUCUGGAGGACUAACAACUAGAGAAUAUAUAUUCUUUAUCGCAUAUGUUUGUUAAUCUGAAGUCAAAACUAACAUGAAGGAAAUUCAUAAUCUCAUAAUUCUAGAAAUUAAAUGAAAAAGUAAACUGAAGUGAAAAUGCAGUGGAAAUGUUUCAAUUGUGCUAUGGUGAGACCCAUUGCUCUUGCUGAUUGCACAUAAAAUCUUUGGACAAAGUAUAAAAGACAACUCUGAAGAUCUCUGAAAAGUAAACAAAAGUGGGCCAGUUAUGGAAGGAGCAUUUUGGAGAUGGACACUGCAUGAGGGUGAGUUUCCCGUUUCUUUUCUCAGAAACCGUGUUGUUUUGACAAAGAGCAAACAGGAGGAGGGGCCUCUGAGAGUCGGAAGGAAAUUGUGAUUCCUGCUGCAGUGAGGAUGAGCCUUGAGGACAUUGUGCUGAGUGACAUAAGAACAAAUACUGAAUGAUUCCACUUACAUGAGGACCUAGAAUAAGCUCCUCUCCUGUCCAUGAGUCUGCUUGUUCAGUCCUGAAGUGCAGUCGGCCCGCAGCACUGUGUUAGUUCCAGACGCGCAGCACAAGGACUUGAUAUUCCCAUACGUUUCAAAAGGAUCACCACAGAAAUCUCGUUACCAUCUGUCAACAUUCCAAGAUGUCACUAAACUGUAUGAAUUUGAAGCAUGCCAAUGGAUUCUAUGGAUGUGAGAAUUGGACUGUGAAGAAAGCUGAACGCUGAAGAAUUGAUGUUUUUGAACUGUGGUGUUGGAGAAGACUCUUGAGAGUCCCUUGGACAGCAAGGAGAUCCAACCAGUCCAUCCUAAAGGAGACCAAUCCUGGGUGUUCAUUGGAAGGACUGAUGCCGAGGCUGAAACUCCAAUACUUUGGC